AACGCACCUUGCGCUCCUUGGCAUUCCGAGGAGCAUGCCUGUUUGAGUGUCAUUAAAUUCUCAAUCCCCACAAUCUUGUGUUGCUGGGUGAUUGGAUUUUGGGGGCUUGCUGGCCUUGUUCAGCUCUCCUUAAAAGCAUUAGCAGGAUAUCAUGCCAUCUGUGCUUUGUAUGAUACAUAUCUAUACAUUGUACUUAUUGUGCACAACUGCUUCCAACUGUCAUCUGACAUUUGACCAAUUUGACCUCAAAUCAGGUAGGACUACCCGCUGAACUUAA
Molecule: unclassified non-coding RNA, 277 nt
Filed under: uncultured fungus
Lineage: Eukaryota; Fungi
Description: partial contains 5.8S ribosomal RNA, internal transcribed spacer 2, and large subunit ribosomal RNA
Rfam family: 5.8S ribosomal RNA (bases 1-52)
Source: RNAcentral